CUCGGAAUUUCCUCGGAAAUUCCUCGGUAUAUUCCGAGGAUUUCAUUUUCCGUCGGAAUGUCCGUCAGAAUAUCGCUGUUUUCUUGUAGUGGCGACUCAUCAACAGUUCUGCUUUAGGUCUCGGCCUAUUCUCCUUUCAGGUUUCUGUUUAUCCUUUGGCCGAGAGACUGCUAGGACCCGUGCUGGUCACUCGUUUUGUUGGGGUCAGUUGAUAUUAUUUGAUGUGAUUUAUGAUUAUCUGCAUAUUGUAAGUAGUGGACUAGAAUGCAACAAGAUAGAGAUCUUUCUUCUGACAAUUUUUUUUUGUUUUAGGCAUUGAUGAUACCAAUACAGAUGAGUUAUCGAUUUAUUGCUAAUUUAUCAGGUCUCAGUCUAAGCUUACUGUUGAACUGGGCAUCAAUCCUCAUCAACGUGCUAAUUAAGUGUAAAUCCAAAAUCAAAAGCUAAUCCUUCUUCUUUCCUUCUCCUUUGUGCGGAUGUAGUAAUAUAUUUAUCAUCUGCUUAUAAUCCUUUUGAAUCAUUUAAUAAUAUGUAGGUGACCGGCUUGUUGAUCCUGCAAAACAAAGCUGUCGAAAGAAAAAAAAUUCUUCAUUUUUGUAAAAUAUGGACCACUUUUCUUUUCUCUUAUAACUUUAAUACUUUUUAUGAAACAACAUGAUCAAAGCCAAAGAGGGGCUGCUAAUUGAAUAGCUAUGAGUCUAUGACUGUAAUGUCUCUCUUUAAGACUGUUGGACCAGCUGGUGCUGGCAUACCAUUUUCAUGGAGUGAAAGGCGACUAAAAACUGCAUUUUUACCAGGAUCACAUAUGGUGUUCUUCGUCCUGAAUGUGAUAGUCGUCAUAGGAGUAGCUCUAACAUUUAAGCCGUUUUUAACCACGGCUAGAAGGUGAAUUUCAUUGGAAGUGGUGAUAGAGAAAUGUAUGGAGUCGUUCAUUCUUUUAGUUCUAGAUUCGAAAGAACCGGUAAUCAACUUGCAGUAACCUUAGGAUUUGAGUUUCUUUUUAUUUCCUUCUGUUUUGGUUGUGUGAUUUUCUACCAGACGCUAUAGAAACGUCAAUGAUAUAUAAAGCACACCAGAAAGUUAAAAGUACCAA
Brassica napus (rape) is the source of this 1093-nucleotide long non-coding RNA. RefSeq lists it as uncharacterized. NCBI's taxonomy places the organism in Eukaryota, Viridiplantae, Streptophyta, Magnoliopsida, Brassicales, Brassicaceae. The transcript has 3 exons. The record is from RefSeq and is a predicted model, not a curated record.